GAUGAAGAACGUAGCGAAAUGCGAUAAGUAAUGUGAAUUGCAGAAUUCAGUGAAUCAUCGAAUCUUUGAACGCACAUUGCGCCCGCCAGUAUUCUGGCGGGCAUGCCUGUUCGAGCGUCAUUUCAACCAUCAAGCCCCCGGCUUGUGUUGGGGACCUGCGGCUGCCGCAGGCCCUGAAAACCAGUGGCGGGCUCGCUAGUCACUCCGAGCGUAGUAAUACAUCUCGCUCAGGGCGUGCUGCGGGUUCCGGCCGUUAAAAAGCCUUAUUUACCCAAGGUUGACCUCGGAUCAGGUAGGUAGACCCGCUGAACUUAAGCAUAUCAAUAAGCGGAGGA
RNAcentral lists this unclassified non-coding RNA (335 nucleotides) under soil metagenome. RNAcentral's name for it is "partial contains 5.8S ribosomal RNA, internal transcribed spacer 2, and large subunit ribosomal RNA". The stretch from base 1 to 120 matches the Rfam family "5.8S ribosomal RNA", at positions 35 to 154 of the family's 154-position model. The record is from RNAcentral.